Molecule: ribosomal RNA, 375 nt
Filed under: uncultured organism
Description: partial 16S ribosomal RNA
Rfam family: Bacterial small subunit ribosomal RNA
Source: RNAcentral
GGAGGGUGCAAGCGUUGCUCGGAUUUACUGGGCGUAAAGAGCACGUAGGUGGUUUGGUAAGUCUGAUGUGAAAGCCCACGACUCAAUCGUGGAAGUGCAUUGGAUACUGCCAGACUAGAGUACAGGAGGGGUAAGCGGAAUUCCAGGUGUAGAGGUGAAAUUCGUAGAUAUCUGGAGGAACAACGGCGGCGAAGGCGGCUUACUGGACUGUCACUGACACUGAGGUGCGAAAGUGUGGGGGGGAGCAAACAGGAUUAGAUACCCUGGUAGUCCACACCGUAAACGAUGGACACUAGAUGUCGGGAGCACUUACUCUCUCGGUGUCGAAGCUAACGCGUUAAGUGUCCCCGCCUGGGGAGUACGGACGCAAGUUUA